This is a long non-coding RNA of Hypanus sabinus (Atlantic stingray), 2891 nucleotides long. RefSeq lists it as uncharacterized. The record is from RefSeq and is a predicted model, not a curated record. The transcript has 4 exons. Lineage: Eukaryota; Metazoa; Chordata; Chondrichthyes; Myliobatiformes; Dasyatidae.
CAGGUUAUCUACUUGCAUGCAAAAGGUUUACCGAAAACAAUUUAAGAUUAUGAAAGCAGUUGCUGUGACACUCUUACUCUCUCUAUGCAGAUGACCCCAGCAUUAUGGAAUGGAAGAGGAUUAGAUAUUUAUGCCUUACGGCCGAUUAAAAACUACUGCGGUGAAUGGAAAAUGAUUCAGUGCCCAAAAAUCAAUGCUUGAAUGAGGUCAGGUGGAGCAGAACUACUCAGUGAACUGUAAGGGAAGCUUCAUCUUCCCCUGAUUCCACAAUUUCACAUGACUGCAAUCUGUGUCAAAGAUAAACAUAUUGGAUUCAAAAGCAAAGAUGCUGCUUGACCAGCUGAAUAUUUGAAAUGUUUUCAGAAUUCACUUCUGAGUUCUUGUGUCUGCACUACCUUCUUAACUUAGCCUAUUAAUAUUGGUUGGCCACUGAAAUCAUAACAACAAGCAUAUUGCAAGAAAAUGGCUUGCUACUUGUAUUGUGACCAUCAUGCACAGAUGAAGAAGAAGAAUAGCGCUUAACUCGGCAGUGGAGUUAUCAGGGCACCGUCAUGAUGGCGUUUCCGUAGCAAGCUAUUUUUGUUUUUUAUGAGGCUGAGUUGCUAGCUCAACGCUCAACCCGACUUGGAUUCGAACUCGGGACCUUUCGCUCCGGAAUCCGAUGCAGAUAUUAUUGCACCACCAAGCGGGUAUGUGCACAGAAGAAGAGCAUAAGAAACAGGAGCAGGCCACUUGGCUUCUUGAGCUUGCUGCUUCAUUCAGUAAGAUCACAACUGAUACUGUCUCGACUUUAACACCACUUUCUGAGCAAUUUGCCUACCACCACAAGUCAAAGUAGACACAAUUUCAUUGGCUCUCUACCCAGUUUUGGGGCAUCUAGACAACAGCAAUGCAUACGUCAGUCUGAUGUUUAUUGACUGCAUAGAGCUCAGCUUUCAAUACCAUAAUUCCUUCAGUACUAAUCAACAAGCAUCAUAACUUGGGCCUCUGUACCUCUCUCUGCAAAUGGAUGCUUGACUUCCUCAUUGGAGUGCAGAUCAAUAACAAUACAUCCUCCUCACUGACAAUCAACACAGACUCACCUCAAGAUUACAUGCUUAGCCUACUGCUCUACUCUCUCUACUCUAAUGAAUGCAUGGCUAGGCACAGCCUAAAUGCCAUCCAUAUAUUCACAGAUGACACCCCUGAUUCUGAUCUCAGUUCCCACACUGACGGUGUUUCCCAGUAUGCUUCAAUAUUGUGGCAACCAUUUGGUCCAGAAUGACAGACGAGGAAGUUCUUUAACUCAACAACAGUUUUUAUUGUGAUACAUACGAAAACAGACUGGGCCCAUAACCUGGAGAGAGAACAGCUCACUUUCAUACCGAUGGGGGAGGAGACCAUCAUACACCCUGGUUACUGUUAGGGUGACCCCAAUUACACAAGCAAGUAACAGUAUAACCCUAGCUAAAAUGUGACAAUAAAUGAACUAACACUUCUCACCAUAAUUCUAUAAAAGCAUCUUAACACAUGAACCAUUAACGGUGCUGGUUAUUAGAAAUGCAAGAGCAGGCUGUUAACCACAUUCCCGCCCCGGAGCAUCACACUAUGUUUCAGGAAGAUCCAUCCCAUUCUUUCUAUAUUCCAACAAGUAUAACCUAACCUGCUGAAUCUUCCUUCGUACAUCAUCCUCUUCUUCCCAGUCAGUCAUCAACCUGGUGACCAGUCUCUGUGUUGACCCAACACAUGUAUAUUAUUCCCUGUAUAAGGAAACUAAAGCUUCAGCUGUGGUCUCACCAGUGUUGCCUUGUGAAACUGCUUCAGAACUUCCUUACUCUUAUACUCCAAUCUUCCAAUAAAAGUUGAGGUUCUAAUAAUCUACAUACUUAUGUGCAGGAUCUGCAUGCUGACUUUUACUAGGACCACCCACAACUCCCCACAAGUCACCAACUAACACAGCAUUUUUUAGUUUGUUGCUCCUGAUUCCAGCAUCUGCUAUCUCUUGUGUUUUUAUUUUGUCGUUCAUUCCAUUUAAGAAAAAAUAGUAUUCUUCCUUCCAGUGUGGGAAAACUCACAUUCUCUCAUAUUAUACUCCAUCUUUCAAUUUCUUUCCCACUCAUUAACCUAUUUCUGUUCCUUUGCAGGCUUUGAGUUCUCUUCACAACUUUCAAAUCUCUUCUCUUUGUAUAACCUGGUGAAAGGUCUCUUCAUCUUUGUGUCCAUAUCAUUGACAUAGAUUAUAAAUUGUUGAGGUCUAACCUCAAUGGAACUCCAAUAGUUACUGCAAAAUGAACAUAUGGAUUUACAGAUUUAUCCCAACUCUGUUUACUCUUAGGUUAUUCCCCUUACCAUCUCUCAACUAGAUGUGUUGUUAACCUUACUGAAUGCCACCUAGAAAUUUAAAUUCACCAUCCUCUUUUCCAUCCUGUUUGUUACAUCCUCAAGGGACUCAGGCAAAUUUGACAAUGCCUAUUUUUCAUUCAUAAAACCAUUACCACUUCAUCAUGAUCCCAAGCCCAUAAUGGAGAUGGUUGAAGUCAGUCCCCGUGAUGGCUAACUACAACUGAUUAUAUUAACUGAAGCACACUGAUGACGUUGGAUGUAAAAUUAAGAUGCAACCCUGCUAAACUCAGCUGCAGCCAACCUGAACCUGAAGAUUUCUGGUAGCACAGUAGCAUAGGGGUCAGCGCAUUCGCUUUAUCAUUAAUCAGCUGGCGAUCAGCAAUCGGGAUUCAACUCCCACCACUGUCUGUACUGAGAUUGUGCCUCUCCAAUUGACUGCAUGGGCAUCUUCCCACAUUCUGAAGACACAUGGCUCCGGUCAGGGCUGGUAAGUUGUGGAUAUGCUGUAUUGACACUGGAAGCGUGGCAACACGAGUAGGUUGCUCCCAGAACAAUUGACACUAAUUUGA